UAAAAUGUACAUAUCGAUAUUGGUAAACAAGUGUACAUGUGGAUAUUAAAUCUUGGUGUAUAUGUCAAUAUUGGUAAACAUGAGAUAUCAUAUAUGUACACAUAAGAAGUUUUUGUAUGUACACAGCGAUGUACAUAUAUUGAAAAUAUACUAGUAUACACCGGUGUACAUGUGAGUCGUUGUACAAGUGGACAACGAUAUGUGUGUGUACAUUUGAAUGCUAUUUAAAUUUGCAAAUGUUAUAACUUACAAAUGUAUGUUAUAUAUCAUUAUGGAUUGCAUUAGGAAAACCAUUUGGGCCUGCUCCUUCCGGGUACCAUAAGCAUCUCUUUGAAACCAUCAUCAUCGUGGAACCAAAAACAAAGGAUGUCUCGUUUCAUGUACAAAAGAAUUGUUGUACAUGUGGAUAGUGUAUUUUUAUGUACAAUAUACCAUGUACAUAUAAAUCAUUUAUUUUUUCAUGUUUUUUUAAUGAGGAUCAUUUUCGUAAUUUUAACUUCAUCUUCCCCAAAAUUAAUUAGAGUUUUCUGCAAUUUUCCUCUACGAUCGCCAGUUAUUAUUCUCAUCUUAGUCAUCUGUUUUUUUUUUUUGCUUAUUAUACUUUUAAACAUGUAUAAAUAUCAUAUAAGACACGAUUUCAAGCUUUAAAUGAUUUUGUUUCUACAACAAAAACGUAAAUCUUUCUUUUUCUUUUUAUUACUGUCAUAGCGCGAGGCGGAUUAGUUGCGGAGCAUGGUGUGAAAGAAGAAACUCUUCGAUAGUUUUCGGCGAAGCUAUUUUCUUCACCGAUGUUUU
RNAcentral lists this long non-coding RNA (795 nucleotides) under Brassica rapa (field mustard). Its description in RNAcentral is "long non-coding RNA (BRAP_LNC002119)". The record is from RNAcentral. Lineage: Eukaryota; Viridiplantae; Streptophyta; Magnoliopsida; Brassicales; Brassicaceae.